Long non-coding RNA from Rhipicephalus microplus (southern cattle tick), 269 nucleotides. The record is from RefSeq and is a predicted model, not a curated record. NCBI's taxonomy places the organism in Eukaryota, Metazoa, Arthropoda, Arachnida, Ixodida, Ixodidae.
GGGAGACGCAAAGCGCGCGCACGUGUUUGAUUGCAGGCUGUAAGUGAAUUUGUGGUUUCGUACGCGUCUGCCCAGCCAGACUGUAUGCCCAUCUUGGAGCACACCGGGUCAAACCUGUCAAAACGGCCAUGGCAUGACAAGACGCUGACCUCUCUGCUAAGAUUGCUGCAAAGAGCUUCUUGAAAAUGAUGGGCCUGAGAGCAGCAAUGGACUCAGAUGUGUUUGGAGUCUUAUUGCAGCCGUGGUGCUGCCGAGUUAAAGAAGUUCUC